Molecule: non-coding RNA, 45 nt
Filed under: Schistosoma margrebowiei
Lineage: Eukaryota; Metazoa; Platyhelminthes; Trematoda; Strigeidida; Schistosomatidae
Source: RNAcentral
AUCUAGCUGAUGAAUCCGAAAUAGAACGAAACGUGCGUUCUGGAU